UUAUAGACCUUACUCUAUUGGUUAAAAGGAUGUCGAUGCAAAUCCAUCCUGUUCUUAUUUGCUCUGCAUAAAAAUCAGCUCGUUGCUCAGCUAAAGCUCAUAUCACCCAACUGAAUUCAAGAACUUCCAGCCAUCACAGAGUUUGAUUAUGGGGCUGAGCGUCAUUCAGCAGUGCAUUUUUAUCCUCAUGUUAACACAAGGUUUUUGCAGUGCUGAGAUCAGACUGGACCAGUCUCCUGCUGUGUUCAAGAGACCUGGAGAAACUGUGAAGAUUUCUUGUAAAAUAAGUGGAUAUUCGAUGACGAGCAGAAACAUACACUGGAUACGACAGAAACCAGGGAAAGCUCUGGAAUGGAUUGGGAGGAUGGAUACAGGCAGUAAUGAAGCAAUAUAUGCAGAGUCUGUGAAGAACCAGUUCACCAUGACAGAAAACGUCCCAGCAAGCACACAGUACUUAGAGGCCAAGAGUCUGAGGACAGAGGACACUGCGGUUUAUUACUGCGCCCGAAGAGCCACAGUGACUGGAGCUGAGGAAGCAGCUGUACAAAAACCAGACACAGACUGUAUCUGAACUAACUGAAGCUGCUUCAGCUGGAAUUGAUAGGAAAACAUUCUCUGUAUCUCUUUACUGCUCCAAAUAUCCACGUGUUUCUGGAUUUAAAACAAAUGUAGGAAGGGCCUGAACUAGAUUUUUUUUUCUUCAAAAUAUAUACAUAUAUCUAUAAACUUUGCCCCUGGAAACACUGGAAAAACUCCCAGAGGUAGAAAUGGCAUCAGUGUCAGCAUGGUGUGUUAAUUGUGGCUCUGAUGGUUCUUCACCCAACAAACUAAGUCAUCCCAGUCCCAAUCCACACCUCUAGUCUCAACCAGGUUUAGUGGAAGAUUCACAUGUCCACAAGAGACAAAACUUAUUCAGGAAGAUGACCUUAAAAAAAAAAAUCCCACAAAACAUAAAUCAACACUUUAAGCAGAUGCAAGAAUUCAACAGAACUGUGGUGUCAGUGCAUUUCAUCUUUCAGGAAGUUUCUUUAUUUUGCUCUUUCAAUGACAUUAAAGAAGCUUCAUCACAGAGAGUGAAGAACAAACUCCAUCAAAAAGACACGGUUAUAAAUUAUUUAAUUUCCCACUGAUACUGGAUCUGAGCGCUUUCUUUCUUUUAAACCGUGCUGAUACAAAUGCUCCAAUCUGGAAUUCAGACUUCCUUCAUUUGUAUCGCUGCUCCAUGGGAGACCUUUUUACUGACAGCAAGAACAUUUGAACCUUUUUUUUUUUUUUUAAAUCUCUCCUUCCAGUUCUGGAUAUUUUGACAACAGCACUUUUGUGCCUCUAGAGGGCAGUCUGUGCAAACUCCACCAUCUCAACCUGUUGCUCUCUGCACAUUCAGGCCAUUUUUAUGCCUCCACCACCGUAAGUUGCAGGAGGCAUUAUGUUUUCGGGUUGUCCGUGCGUCCGUCCCGAAACCUUGUGAACGCGAUAUCUCAAGGGCUGAUGAAAGGAAUUUCACCAAACUUUCAGCAUUUGUGUGCUUUAGGACAAAUAUGAACUGAUUUAGAUUUUGAGAUCAAAAGGUCGAAGGUCAAGGUCACUGUGAGGUCAAAUGUCUGUCCGAAAAUCUUGUGAACACACUAUCUCCAAGGCAGAUGAAAGGAAUUUCACCAAACUUUCACCAUUUGUGCAUCUGGGGACAAAGAUAAACUGAUUAGAUUUUGAGAUCAAAAGGUCUAAGGUCACGGUGAGGUCAAAUGUCUGUCUGAAAACCUUGUGAACACAAUAUCUCCGAGGCAAAUACAAGUACUUUCAUCAGGUCAAGAUUACUGUGAGGUCAAAUGUCCAUCCCCAAAUCACAACUUAAUAAGGCGUGUAGUCUACCAGGCGGAGGCAUCCCCAGUGAUGCCAUUGGCAUCGAGUUCUAUCUUUAAACAUAAACUGCUUACAAGGACAAUCCUCAAAAACUUCCACUGUCACUACUUCUGUCUGCAAAUAGUUACAUAAAACUUUAGCCCCUGCACCCGGUCACAUUUAUACAUGUAUUUGUAAUUAAAUGUGAUACAAACAUGCAAAUAA
Molecule: non-coding RNA, 2064 nt
Organism: Neoarius graeffei (lesser salmon catfish)
Lineage: Eukaryota; Metazoa; Chordata; Actinopteri; Siluriformes; Ariidae
Source: the annotation of a RefSeq genome assembly